AGAGUUUGAUNNUGGCUCAGAUUGAACGCUGGCGGCAGGCCUAACACAUGCAAGUCGAGCGGUAGCACAGAGAGCUUGCUCUCGGGUGACGAGCGGCGGACGGGUGAGUAAUGUCUGGGAAACUGCCUGAUGGAGGGGGAUAACUACUGGAAACGGUAGCUAAUACCGCAUAACGUCGCAAGACCAAAGUGGGGGACCUUCGGGCCUCAUGCCAUCAGAUGUGCCCAGAUGGGAUUAGCUAGUAGGUGGGGUAACGGCUCACCUAGGCGACGAUCCCUAGCUGGUCUGAGAGGAUGACCAGCCACACUGGAACUGAGACACGGUCCAGACUCCUACGGGAGGCAGCAGUGGGGAAUAUUGCACAAUGGGCGCAAGCCUGAUGCAGCCAUGCCGCGUGUGUGAAGAAGGCCUUCGGGUUGUAAAGCACUUUCAGCGGGGAGGAAGGCGAUGAGGUUAAUAACCUCAUCGAUUGACGUUACCCUGCAGAAGAAGCACCGGCUAACUCCGUGCCAGCAGCCGCGGUAAUACGGAGGGUGCAAGCGUUAAUCGGAAUUACUGGGCGUAAAGCGCACGCAGGCGGUCUGUCAAGUCGGAUGUGAAAUCCCCGGGCUCAACCUGGGAACUGCAUUCGAAACUGGCAGGCUAGAGUCUUGUAGAGGGGGGUAGAAUUCCAGGUGUAGCGGUGAAAUGCGUAGAGAUCUGGAGGAAUACCGGUGGCGAAGGCGGCCCCCUGGACAAAGACUGACGCUCAGGUGCGAAAGCGUGGGGAGCAAACAGGAUUAGAUACCCUGGUAGUCCACGCCGUAAACGAUGUCGAUUUGGAGGUUGUGCCCUUGAGGCGUGGCUUCCGGAGCUAACGCGUUAAAUCGACCGCCUGGGGAGUACGGCCGCAAGGUUAAAACUCAAAUGAAUUGACGGGGGCCCGCACAAGCGGUGGAGCAUGUGGUUUAAUUCGAUGCAACGCGAAGAACCUUACCUGGUCUUGACAUCCACAGAACUUUCCAGAGAUGGAUUGGUGCCUUCGGGAACUGUGAGACAGGUGCUGCAUGGCUGUCGUCAGCUCGUGUUGUGAAAUGUUGGGUUAAGUCCCGCAACGAGCGCAACCCUUAUCCUUUGUUGCCAGCGGUUAGGCCGGGAACUCAAAGGAGACUGCCAGUGAUAAACUGGAGGAAGGUGGGGAUGACGUCAAGUCAUCAUGGCCCUUACGACCAGGGCUACACACGUGCUACAAUGGCAUAUACAAAGAGAAGCGACCUCGCGAGAGCAAGCGGACCUCAUAAAGUAUGUCGUAGUCCGGAUUGGAGUCUGCAACUCGACUCCAUGAAGUCGGAAUCGCUAGUAAUCGUAGAUCAGAAUGCUACGGUGAAUACGUUCCCGGGCCUUGUACACACCGCCCGUCACACCAUGGGAGUGGGUUGCAAAAGAAGUAGGUAGCUUAACCUUCGGGAGGGCGCUUACCACUUUGUGAUUCAUGACUGGGGUGAAGUCGUAACAAGGUAACCGUAGGGGAACCUGCGGUUGGAUCACCUCCUUU
This 1534-nucleotide ribosomal RNA is filed under the name Klebsiella pneumoniae. RNAcentral's name for it is "16S ribosomal RNA". It matches the Rfam family "Bacterial small subunit ribosomal RNA". Lineage: Bacteria; Pseudomonadati; Pseudomonadota; Gammaproteobacteria; Enterobacterales; Enterobacteriaceae. RNAcentral also lists the same sequence under 2 other names. The record is from RNAcentral.